ACAUUGAAACACCGGUUCUAAUACGAUCAUCGUAGUUAAGCCAUGUCGGACUUGGCCACUACCUAGAUGGGUGACCGCUUGGAAAUACCAGGUUCUGUCAG
Acanthosepion pharaonis is the source of this 101-nucleotide non-coding RNA. NCBI's taxonomy places the organism in Eukaryota, Metazoa, Mollusca, Cephalopoda, Sepiida, Sepiidae. The record is from the annotation of a GenBank genome assembly.